AGUUUGAUCCUGGCUCAGAACGAACGCUGGCGGCAGGCUUAACACAUGCAAGUCGAACGCCCCGCAAGGGGAGUGGCAGACGGGUGAGUAACGCGUGGGAAUCUACCGUGCCCUGCGGAAUAGCUCCGGGAAACUGGAAUUAAUACCGCAUACGCCCUACGGGGGAAAGAUUUAUCGGGGUAUGAUGAGCCCGCGUUGGAUUAGCUAGUUGGUGGGGUAAAGGCCUACCAAGGCGACGAUCCAUAGCUGGUCUGAGAGGAUGAUCAGCCACAUUGGGACUGAGACACGGCCCAAACUCCUACGGGAGGCAGCAGUGGGGAAUAUUGGACAAUGGGCGCAAGCCUGAUCCAGCCAUGCCGCGUGAGUGAUGAAGGCCUUAGGGUUGUAAAGCUCUUUCACCGGUGAAGAUAAUGACGGUAACCGGAGAAGAAGCCCCGGCCAACUUCGUGCCAGCAGCCGCGGUAA
Molecule: ribosomal RNA, 465 nt
Filed under: uncultured bacterium
Lineage: Bacteria
Description: bacterial SSU rRNA
Rfam family: Bacterial small subunit ribosomal RNA
Source: RNAcentral